CAGCAGCCGCGGUAAUACGUAGGGUGCGAGCGUUAGUCGGAAUUACUGGGCGUAAAGCGUGCGCAGGCGGUUCGCUAAGACAGAUGUGAAAUCCCCGGGCUCAACCUGGGAACUGCAUUUGUGACUGGCAAGCUAGAGUAUGGCAGAGGGGGGUGGAAUUCCGCGUGUAGCAGUGAAAUGCGUAGAUAUGCGGAGGAACACCGAUGGCGAAGGCAGCCCCCUGGGCCAAUACUGACGCUCAUGCACGAAAGCGUGGGGAGCAAACAGGAUUAGAUACCCGUGUAGUCCCUGUCUCUUAUAA
Molecule: ribosomal RNA, 301 nt
Filed under: uncultured bacterium
Lineage: Bacteria
Description: partial 16S ribosomal RNA
Rfam family: Bacterial small subunit ribosomal RNA
Source: RNAcentral